This 440-nucleotide ribosomal RNA is filed under the name uncultured bacterium. RNAcentral describes it as "partial 16S ribosomal RNA". It matches the Rfam family "Bacterial small subunit ribosomal RNA", at positions 338 to 795 of the family's 1533-position model. The record is from RNAcentral.
CCUACGGGUGGCCGCAGUGGGGAAUAUUGCACAAUGGGGGAAACCCUGAUGCAGCGACGCCGCGUGAGCGAUGAAGUAUUUCGGUAUGUAAAGCUCUAUCAGCAGGGAAGAAAAUGACGGUACCUGACUAAAAAGCCCCGGCUAACUACGUGCCAGCAGCCGCGGUAAUACGUAGGGGGCAAGCGUUAUCCGGAUUUUCUGGGUGGAAAGGGAGCGUAGACGGCGGUGCAAGCCAGAUGUGAAAGCCUGGGGCUCAACCGCGGGACUGCAUUUGGAACUGGGCUGCUAGAGUGUCGGAGAGGCAGGCGGAAUUCCUAGUGUAGCGGUGAAAGGCGUAGAUAUUAGGAGGAACACCAGUGGCGAAGGCGGCCUGCUGGACGAUGACUGACGUUGAGGCUCGAAAGCGUGGGGAGCAAACAGGAUUAGAUACCCUGGUAGUC